Molecule: non-coding RNA, 1473 nt
Organism: Misgurnus anguillicaudatus (oriental weatherfish)
Lineage: Eukaryota; Metazoa; Chordata; Actinopteri; Cypriniformes; Cobitidae
Source: RefSeq, a predicted model, not a curated record
UUAUAUGCUUUUGUGAACAUUUCAUUAAUAUAAACAAGAUUAUAACAUUUUGCGAGACAGCAACGUGUUAAUUUAUACUGACUAAGACGACGGGUGUAAUUUAGAGGAAUGACGACUGUUACCUCAGAUCGCCAUUUACACAAAUUGACUUGAAUAAUCGUUCUAAGAUGUUUGAUAUGGCAUAUUAAUAAAAUUAAUAAAACAGAUGUUACAAAAUCCCCAUCACACGGUUGAUUACGUUAACUCAUGACAAUUUCUGUAAGCCUUUAACAAAGCGAGUCAAAACCGGUACAGAGUGGACCUCCGCAACCCACUUCGGCUUUUUGUGUCACACACGCGCAUAAUUUUCCCUUUCCCAGCUUAACAAGCGAUAGCGACGCUGUUAAAUUAAAUUUAGCGACAAACGAAUUGCUUUCUUGUCAUUCGAUAUGUAAAGACAGACCGCAAAGGGCGAGGCGCGAGCAGAAGCACAUGUUAACUUUACCGGCGGCGCCGCGGCGGAGGAUCACGGAGCCGUCGUCUACGCUGUCACUGAGGCAAAGACAAGAAGCACAUUCACUUCACAGUCGGUACGGCAGGUAACGCGUCGAUAAAUUAAAACGAAACAGCGUUUCCAAGAACUGGUGUCUUAUAUAGUGUGCAGAGUUUUAACGUCCAUCCAUUGAUGAGGCUAGCAAGACCUUCAAACAACUUCAGCCAAUUGCAACAAAUGUGGUGGAAUUUCUUCUCUGGACAGAAUCCUCGAAACCCUUUCCUUUCGUCCUGGCCAUGGGAAACAUGCAGCAGAUCUCUCAAUCUUUUUUCUCAAUCAGACUCUCUGAAUACGGAAGUGACUUAAACUGCAAUUCGGCCAAGAUGGCGACGGCACGCACCGCCUACUUUAAGCUUCAAAAAUGCUCUUCACAAACCAAUGGGUGACGUCACAGACACUACUUGCAUAUUUUUUACAGUCUCUGGUUUAAAGGCAUUUUAAGUGCUUAAAUACCCCAGGCAAUGUGCUUCUAUGGGAAUUCCUGUAGUUUGUCAUUUUUCAAAUUAAUGAAUCCCCUGCUGUUCGAUUCCUUUGUACAUCUUUGUUCGCGACGAGUAACUUUAAUAAAUGAAGUAUUUUUAGUCAAAUACAUUCCAUUCUGUGAAACUUAAAACAUUUGUUCUUUAAAAAAACUUUACACAUCUAUGAAUGAUUUUACUUUUAAUUUAACAAUUACAUUGUUUCUUUUCUUACACUGCUGUAGUUUUGUUUAUGUACAUUUCAGUAUUUCAUAUAUAUACUGUAAAAUUACAAAUUCUGUCUUAAAUUCAAACGAAUUGAUUCAACCUGUUACAUUGUUACUUCAAUGUGCAUAAUUUAUGAUAUUUUAUAAAUAUAUUUAUACUUGGGUCAGUAAGCAGUCCUUUAAAUGAUUUUGCAACUUACAACUGUAAAAAUGUAAGAGUUUGUAGUUAUUUUGCAAUCAAAUAAACAUUUAUUUG